GGCUUGGAGGAACUAGAGGGUUGAGAUUGGAGAAGGUUCAGCAUAUUCUAAAGCAUUCCAUCGCUUUUACCUUUUCUUUUUCUAGAUCAGUUCUAAGGCCGUCUCUUUCAAUUUCCAAUUCAGCCAACAUGCCUUGAGCCUAGCAAUUUCAUCAUCUUUAGUUCCACAUUCCUAUACCAAAGCCCUACCUUGUUGUUAAUGGGUGUCCUCGGAGAUGAACCUGUUUCAACUGGGAUGGCAUUGACAGGAUAGUCACAAGCCAGUAGAGUCUUAACACCAAAAUGUUUCUUGGUUGAUGUCAUUUCCUAUUUCUU
RNAcentral lists this long non-coding RNA (314 nucleotides) under Nicotiana benthamiana. Its description in RNAcentral is "long non-coding RNA (NBEN_LNC027969)". Lineage: Eukaryota; Viridiplantae; Streptophyta; Magnoliopsida; Solanales; Solanaceae. The record is from RNAcentral.